GCCUAAAACUCAGCCCUCUGACAACUAAUGAUUACUCAAUCUUUAUUAACAAUAGACAAAACAUUUUACACUUAUAGUAAAGGCGAUUGAAAAAUGUCUAGGAGCUUUAAAUACUGUACCGCAAGGGAAAAGUGAAAUAAAAAUGAAACAUAUUAAAGCUUAACAAAGCAGAGAUUUAACCUCGUACCUUUUGCAUCAUGGUCUAGCUAGUCUAAUCAAGCAAAGUGAGCCUUAAGUUUGACCCCCCGAAACUAGACGAGCUACUUCAAAACAGCCUUCAAGGGCCAACCCGUCUCUGUUGCAAAAGAGUGGGAAGAUUUUCAAGUAGAGGUGAUAGACCUAUCGAGUCUAGAGAUAGCUGGUUAUUCAGGAAAAGGAUAUUAGUCCUGCCUUAAGAUCUUCUUUUAAUUUCAAAUAUCAACUCAGACUUAAGAGCUAUUCAAAUAAGGUACAGCCUAUUUGAACUAGGAUACAACCUAUAAUAUAGGGUAAUGAUUUUCUCAUGUAACUAAGUGGGCCUAAAAGCAGCCACCUUUUAAAAAGCGUUAAAGCUUUAUUACUGAAAUAUACUAAUACCUACAUUUUUCCAAAACCCUUUACUACUACUGAAUGACUCUAUAUCUAUAUAGAGAACUAUAUGCUAGAACUAGUAACAAGAAGAUGAACUUCUCCAAAAUAUAAGUGUACGCCGAGAUGAACUAUUCAACGGCAUUUACCGCUAAUGAAUCCAAAGUAGUAACCAAACAAGAAAAUCCUACUUAAACCAGCGUUAACCUUACACCAGAAUAUUUCUAGAAAGAUUAAAAGAUGAGGAAGGAACUCGGCAAAUUAUUAACCCCGCCUGUUUACCAAAAACAUCGCCUCCUGAAAACCAUAGGAGGUCCAGCCUGCCCAGUGACAAAGUUAAACGGCCGCGGUACCCUAACCGUGCGAAGGUAGCGCAAUCACUUGUUCUUUAAAUGAGGACUAGCAUGAAUGGCAUCACGAGGGUUACACUGUCUCCCCCAUCCAAUCAGUGAAACUGAUCCCCCCGUGAAGAAGCGGGGAUAAGAAUAUAAGACGAGAAGACCCCAUGGAGCUUUAAACUCAGUAUCAACUGCUUUACAAUAAACCUAAGUAACCUAACAGAAAUGACUACUAGUUUUUGGUUGGGGUGACCGCGGAGCAAACACAACCUCCACGAUGAAUGGGCCUCCAACCCUUAUCCCAGAGCUACCACUCUAAGAAUCAAAAAAUUGACAAAAAUUGAUCCAAAUACUUUUGAUCAACGAACCAAGUUUCCCUGGGGAUAACAGCGCAAUCCAUUUCAAGAGCUCCUAUCGACAAAUGGGUUUACGACCUCGAUGUUGGAUCAGGGUAUCCCAGUGGUGCAGCCGCUACUAAAGG
This 1386-nucleotide ribosomal RNA is filed under the name Micryletta inornata (false ornate narrow-mouthed frog). Its description in RNAcentral is "partial 16S ribosomal RNA". It matches the Rfam family "Bacterial large subunit ribosomal RNA", at positions 157 to 2571 of the family's 2925-position model. The record is from RNAcentral. Lineage: Eukaryota; Metazoa; Chordata; Amphibia; Anura; Microhylidae.